CCAGCUCCCGGCCGGGGAAAUGGCGCUUGCGUCUCGCAAGAGCCGUUCAUUUGAGACACACCCCGCUCAGUCCCCUGGGAGAAUGACCUCCAGCCAUGGAUCCCGCCGCUCCUUUUGUAGUACAGCAGAGAGUUGCUGACCUUGCUGGGUUUUGUGUAGGACUACCAGGAUUGUGCUGGGCAGAUCGAGAGCGAGUGUGCACUUCCCGAGCCAUUCGACAAAUCUCACACCAGCCACAGAGGCACAUCGACAGCGUAUCCCCCAAAACUGUGCCCUGCAAUGCUCAAGCCAAGGAGAGAGUGUCAAGUUUGCAUGCUUGGACUUUGCUCACACUAGAAGCUGCAUGAGCCGGCCUGAUGCUGCCUAAGUUUUGUGGAAACAACUUAAUUCCAGGAUUCAAGCAAACUCUGCAGUUUGUGCUUAGUUUUCAUAGUAGGGGUAUUGUAAUUUAUUUCACUGACAAGUUGCCUCAUAGAAUUCUUGUGAAACUUCAAUAACUCUUGCCAACAAGAUUGGCUGAAUUCACCCACUGCACUAAAACUGCAAAUUUUUAAAUACAAAUGGAAGCGUUCAUGGUAGAUAAUGAAGGCGAACAAAGUCACACUAUGAGGAAUACCAUAAUUAUAAUAUAAAAUAAUAAAAGGAC
Molecule: long non-coding RNA, 646 nt
Filed under: Notechis scutatus (mainland tiger snake)
Lineage: Eukaryota; Metazoa; Chordata; Lepidosauria; Squamata; Elapidae
Description: lncRNA (ENSNSUG00000012247.1)
Source: RNAcentral